Salmonella enterica subsp. enterica serovar Javiana is the source of this 130-nucleotide non-coding RNA. The record is from Rfam. Lineage: Bacteria; Pseudomonadati; Pseudomonadota; Gammaproteobacteria; Enterobacterales; Enterobacteriaceae.
AAGAUCUAUUUAGCGUAUAGUACGAUAGCAAUUAAUAAACCAUGCAGGUAGUCCAAAUAAGGACUUCAUCUUUACCUGGAAAUCUGAUUUAAAAAAGGCCGCUUAAUAAUAAGCGGCCUGUAUUAGUGUU